Molecule: long non-coding RNA, 416 nt
Filed under: Anser brachyrhynchus (Pink-footed goose)
Lineage: Eukaryota; Metazoa; Chordata; Aves; Anseriformes; Anatidae
Description: lncRNA (ENSABRG00000012375.1)
Source: RNAcentral
UACACCUUUAUACAAAAUCAGUAAAUGAGAAAAUCAAUCCAAAGGCUACAAAUGAACAGUUUCUUAGCUUGCGUAUGUGCAACAGCAGAAAAGUGCACCAUUUCAAAAUAUAUUUUGACUACAUGACUAAACAAGACAAGACAAGAGCCAAAAGGAAGUUAACACCUCAACAAAUCCCUCCAGAUCACAGCAGUGAAUUAGUGAAUCUAAUGAAGCAUCAAAGUAAUAACUGCUCAGCAAAUUGUGCUGUGGAAAUGAAGAAAAUAGUCGUCCUGGAUUAUUUUAUACCACUUCACCUGAGAGGAUCAUCUCUAUACCCACAAAUAAUUUUUCAGCAGGAUAUCAUAUUUCAUUGAUGUAUUUCUAAGUGUGCAGUAUAAAGGAAAUUAUCAGAAAUAAAAAGUUACAAAAGGGCA